ACCUGGGUGGCUCAGUCGGUUAAGCAUCUGACUUCGGCUCAGGUCAUGAUCUCCUGGUUUGUGGGUUUGAGCCCCACGUCAGGCU
RNAcentral lists this transfer RNA (85 nucleotides) under Felis catus (domestic cat). It matches the Rfam family "tRNA". Rfam says of the family: Transfer RNA (tRNA) molecules are approximately 80 nucleotides in length. Their secondary structure includes four short double-helical elements and three loops (D, anti-codon, and T loops). The record is from Rfam by way of RNAcentral. RNAcentral also lists the same sequence under 1 other name. Lineage: Eukaryota; Metazoa; Chordata; Mammalia; Carnivora; Felidae.